Molecule: long non-coding RNA, 1830 nt
Organism: Equus caballus (horse)
Lineage: Eukaryota; Metazoa; Chordata; Mammalia; Perissodactyla; Equidae
Source: Ensembl
CCUGGGCACAGCUGAGGCUAAGAUUCGGAGAGAGCAAAUCUAGCCGGAGCCCAAAGGGAGGAAUGCCAGGGAAUUUCUGAAGUGGCUUAUUUCCCAGGGUUAUUGUGAAGUAAGUGAGACAAUAUAUAUAUAAAUGCUUUCUUUAUUGUAAAGGGUGAAAUAGUUCAGUGGUUUAGGGCACAGAUUCUGCAAUCAAGUUCCCUGAGUUUAAAUCUUGGCUCUGUUGCUUUUCUGGCUGGGUGACCUCAGAUGAGGACACUGAGGAGGAGAAGGGUUGAGUACCCUGGUCAAGAUCUCAGAGGUGACAUAUGGCAGAGCCCAGUCAGGUCUAAACCCAAGACUGAUUGUCUUCCAACUGGCAAGUCUACAGCUUUAAUCUCAAUGCACAGCCAUAUUUAAGAUCAUGUAACGACCUUUACAUGGCUUUAUAUGGCUUCUUUGCUUUCUCAAAGUCAAAGGUAAUUUCUCCUGCAAGGAUUCUUCUAAGUAAGACACACUCUGCACCUGGCUUCUCUUUUUUCUUCUUUACCUGGGGAUGAGCCAAAAAAUACAGAAUAAACUGAUUGCAAAAUACUGAGAAAGUGUAGCUUAGAAUGAAAGGGGGUUGUGGCAACAUGAGAGGAUCUAGGCGGGCUGGGUGUUGCUCAAGAUGUAAGGCAGAUUUGAGAGCACUGAAGAGUUUCACAAAGUCUCGCUACAACUGAAUAGCUUUUUAUGAUUGCUAGAAAAGCUUAUCUGAUUAAAAAAGGAGCUGUGGGAGUUGGGAAGACAAGUAACAACCAUCUUUCAGAGUCUCCAGGACUGAACACUAUGUAGGCCCACAAUUCAUAAUGCAAAACAUCACUACAUUCGUAAUCAAAAACAAAUUUUGAUUGAUACAGGAAGAGUUCUGUAGUUUUACAGACAUGGAUCAAUUGAUCCCAGAACAUUUUUCUCAGUAGUCUCCCACCCUGAAUGUUACAGCUUAAUCAUACACACUUAAAGGAGAUUUGAGGAGUCCACCAGAGGCCCUUUGCAUCUCUUUUUGUGGGAAGAGUGGAGCUCAAACUCCAGUUGAGUUCCAGUGGUUCAACUGCUCAACUAAUUGAAGUAGUAAAAUCAAGCUAUGGCUUUGGGAAUUUGUCAUGCUCUUCAUCACUUCUCUUCACAUGCUGCCCAGGAAAGCAUAUACUCACAGGGAAAACAGUAUACUUUCUGUGAAAAUGCAGCUUCUAAUUAAUCUUUCACUCAAGUAGUGUGAAUUGGCUCUCAGAAAACAAAGACAAAACAAAAGGAACUCUGCUUUGUAGUGUUUGCUAAUAUUUGUCAUACGAAUACCUCUGUUAUGGCUGAUUACAAGGGUGUCUGUAUUUAACAACUGGCUAGCAACAUUUCAGACUGGCAAAAUUCCCAGUACAAGAUGGCUUUGGAGCAUCUCUGACCCUCCUAAGCCAGGCGUAGGUAGAAAUUCUGGAGCCAACAUCACCAAAGAUGAAUGCAGAACACUCUCUCCUCUAAGAUAUUCGUGGAAUCAUGGAAUGAAGACCCAGAAUUGGUGUCUCUCAGGCCAGCAACAUUUGAUUCUACUUUUUUCUGCCAGCUUUAUUGAGGAGUUUUAUGGCUGCAGGACUUUUAUGGUUCAAGGCUUUAAUCCAUUUUCAGUUAAGUUUUGUGUAUGGUAGAAGAUAGGAGUCCAGUUUCAUCCUUUUGAAUGUGGAUGUCAAGUUUUUCCGGCACCAUUUAUUGAAGAGACUAUCCUUUCCCCCUUGUGUAUCUGUGGCACCUUUGUCAAAAAAUAAUUGACCAUAUUUGAAUGACUGUAUUUAUUUUUGAACGUUUUCUCGAAGGAGC